AGCGUUGUCCGGAAUUACUGGGCGUAAAGAGUUCGUAGGCGGUUUGUCGCGUCGUUUGUGAAAACCCGGGGCUCAACUUCGGGCUUGCAGGCGAUACGGGCAGACUUGAGUGUUUCAGGGGAGACUGGAAUUCCUGGUGUAGCGGUGAAAUGCGCAGAUAUCAGGAGGAACACCGGUGGCGAAGGCGGGUCUCUGGGAAACAACUGACGCUGAGGAACGAAAGCGUGGGUAGCAAACAGGAUUAGAUACCCUGGUAGUCCACGCCGUAAACGGUGGGCGCUAGGUGUGGGUUCCUUCCACGGGAUCUGUGCCGUAGCUAACGCAUUAAGCGCCCCGCCUGGGGAGUACGGCCGCAAGGCUAAAACUCAAA
RNAcentral lists this ribosomal RNA (370 nucleotides) under uncultured Rhodococcus sp. Its description in RNAcentral is "bacterial SSU rRNA". It matches the Rfam family "Bacterial small subunit ribosomal RNA", at positions 537 to 905 of the family's 1533-position model. Lineage: Bacteria; Bacillati; Actinomycetota; Actinomycetes; Mycobacteriales; Nocardiaceae. The record is from RNAcentral.